GCAACAUUCGGACCGUCGGUCUACCGAGCAAUAUCACCCGCUCGGUGGAAGAUCUUCCCUUUCGUCGU
This 68-nucleotide microRNA precursor is filed under the name Bombyx mori (domestic silkworm). Its description in RNAcentral is "mir-2774 microRNA precursor family". It matches the Rfam family "mir-2774 microRNA precursor family". Lineage: Eukaryota; Metazoa; Arthropoda; Insecta; Lepidoptera; Bombycidae. The record is from Rfam by way of RNAcentral.